This is a long non-coding RNA of Lingula anatina, 159 nucleotides long. NCBI's taxonomy places the organism in Eukaryota, Metazoa, Brachiopoda, Lingulata, Lingulida, Lingulidae. The record is from RefSeq and is a predicted model, not a curated record.
GUAUAUACAGGAAGACACCACUUGUGUUGAUGCGAGGCCCAGUUUGUUGGUGGAGGACCCACCUUGGACAGACAACCCAGUGUGGGUAGCAUUGUUUGUUAUUGCCAUGCUGAUAAUACUGCUGUUGUUAUGUGUUGGUUUGCUGUUAUUAUAUCGGUG